AGUUCGAUUAUGCCUCAGAUUGAAGCUGGCGGGGAUGCUUUACACAUGCAAGUCGAACGGCAGCACGGACUUCGGUCUGGUGGCGAGUGGCGAAGUGAGUAAUGUAUCGGAACGUGCCUAGUAGCGGGGGAUAACUACGCGAAAGCGUAGCUAAUACCGCACACGCCCUUCGGGGAAAGCGGGGACUCGGGCCUCGCACUAUUAGAGCGGCCGAUAUCGGAUUAGCUAGUUGGUGGGUAACGGCUCACCAGCAGUGACGAUCCGUAGCUGGUUUGAGAGGACGAGACCAGCCACACUGGGACUGAGACACGGCCCAGACUCCUACGGAGGCAGUGGGGAAUUUUGGACAAUGGGGAAACCCUGAUCCAGCCAUCCCCGCGGUGCGAUGAAGGCUCGGUUGUAAAGCACUUUUGGCAGUGAAGAACGGCACGGAUAAUACUCCCCGUGCAACUGACGGCACUGGCAGAAUAAGCACCGGCUACUACGCAGCUGCAGCAGCCGCGGUAAUACGUAGGGUGCAAGCGUUAAUCGGGCUCACGGGCGCAAAGCGUGCGCAGGCGGUCUGGAAAGAAAGAUGUGAAACCCCAGAGCUUUAACUUUUGGAACUGCAUUUAACUACCGAGCUAGAGUGUGUCAGAGGGAGGUGGAAUUCCGCGUGUAGCAGUGAAAUGCGUAGAUAUGCGGAGGAACACCGAUGGCGAAGGCAGCCUCCUGGAGUAAUACUGACGCUCAUGCACGAAAGCGUGGGGAGCAAACAGGAUUAGGAUACUCCCGUAGUCCACGCCCUAAACGAUGUCAACUAGCUGUUGGGGCCUCUCGGGCCUGGUAGCGCGCAGCUAACGCGGUGAAGUUGACCGCCUGGGGAGUACGGUCGCAAGAUUAAAACUCAAAGGAAUUGACGGGGACCCCGCAAUACAGGUGGAUGAUGUGGAUUAAUUCGAUGCAACGCGAAAACCUUACCUACCCUGACAUGUCUGAACCUGAAGAGAUUUGGGAGUGCUCGCAAGAGAACCGAACACAGGUGCUGCAUGGCUGUCGUCAGGCCGUGAGAUGUUGGGUUGUCCCGCAACGAGCGCAACCCUUGUCAUUAUUACACAGAAAGGGCACUCUAAUGAGACUGCCGGUGACAAACUGGAGGAAGGUGGGGAUGAUGUCAAGUCCUCAUGGCCCUCCUUAUGGGUAGGGCUUCACACGUCAUACAAUGGUCGGGACAGAGGGCUCGCCAACCCGCGAGGGGAGCUAAUCCCAGAAACCCGAUCGUAGUCCGGAUCGCAGUCUGCAACUCGACUGCGUGAAGUCGGACCUUAGUAAUCGCGGAUCAGCAUGUCGCGGUGGUGAAUACGUUCCCGGGUCUUGUACACACGCUCCGUCACACCAUGGGGAGGGUUUUACCAGAAGUAGUUAGCCUAACCGUAAGGAGGGCGAUUACCACGGUAGGAUUCAUGACUGGGGUAGGGAAGGUA
RNAcentral lists this ribosomal RNA (1463 nucleotides) under uncultured Bordetella sp. RNAcentral's name for it is "partial 16S-23S ribosomal RNA intergenic spacer". It matches the Rfam family "Bacterial small subunit ribosomal RNA". Lineage: Bacteria; Pseudomonadati; Pseudomonadota; Betaproteobacteria; Burkholderiales; Alcaligenaceae. The record is from RNAcentral.